Molecule: transfer RNA, 68 nt
Filed under: Amarygmini sp. ACP-2013
Lineage: Eukaryota; Metazoa; Arthropoda; Insecta; Coleoptera; Tenebrionidae
Description: tRNA-Trp
Source: RNAcentral
AGGAUUUAAGUUAAAUUGCCAAACUAAUAACCUUCAAAGUUAUAAAUAGAAGUGUAUCUAAGCCUUAG